AACGUAGGGGUCGAGCGUUAUCCGGAAUUACUGGGCGUAAAGCGCGUGCAGGCGGCAGUGCAAGUCGGACGUGAAAGCUCCUGGCUCAACUGGGAGAGGCCGUUCGAAACUGCACUACUUGAGGACGGUAGAGGCGAGUGGAAUUCCCGGUGUAGUGGUGAAAUGCGUAGAUAUCGGGAGGAACACCAGAGGCGAAGGCGGCUCGCUGGGCCGUGUCUGACGCUGAGACGCGAAAGCCAGGGGAGAGAACGGG
RNAcentral lists this unclassified non-coding RNA (253 nucleotides) under uncultured Anaerolineae bacterium. RNAcentral's name for it is "contains 16S-23S intergenic spacer region". It matches the Rfam family "Bacterial small subunit ribosomal RNA", at positions 524 to 776 of the family's 1533-position model. The record is from RNAcentral. Lineage: Bacteria; Bacillati; Chloroflexota; Anaerolineae.